This 1985-nucleotide long non-coding RNA is filed under the name Gallus gallus (chicken). The record is from RNAcentral. Lineage: Eukaryota; Metazoa; Chordata; Aves; Galliformes; Phasianidae.
GGGGGGGUCGGGGGGGGGACGGGCGGCGCCGCGCCCUUAAAACGGCCCCGAAUUGGAGGGGGGGGGGAUUGGAGCGCCUUCGGGACCGGGAAGCGGAGCGGAACCGGAGCGGAACCGGGAUCGGAACCGGGGGAUACGGAACCGGGAUCGAAGUACAGGGAUCGGAGGACCGGGAUUGGAGUACCCGGAGCGGGGUUAAAGCACCGCUAUUGGGAUCCGGAUCCGGGAUCGGAACACCGGGACCGGGAUUGGAGUGUUGGAAGUGGGAUCGGAAUCCGGAUCCGGGUCGGAACACCGCUAUUUGGGGUCGGGAUCCGAAUAUCGGGACUGGGAUUGGAGUACCGGGAGUGAGAGUGGGGUCCGGACCGGGAUCGGAGCACCGGAACCGGGAUUGGAGUGUUGAAAGUGGGAUCGGGAUCCGAACCGGGUUGGAGAGCCGCUAUUAGGAUCCGGAUCCGGACCGGGUCCGGGAUCCGGGCCGGGAUCGGAGCACCGAGAGUGGGAUCGCAGCGCUGCUAUUGGGAUCGGACCGCGAUCCGAACCGGGAUCGGAUUGGGACUGGGAUUGGGAUCGGACCGGGAGUGGGAUUGGAACGUCGGUAACGGGAUCGGAACCGGGAUCCGUGCUGGGAUCGGAGCGCCGUUAAUAGGGUCGGAACCGGGAUCUGAGCUGGGAUUGGAGCGCUGUUAAUAGGAUCAGAACCGGGAUCAGAGCACUGUUAGUAGGAUCAGAACCGGGAUCUGAGCUGGGAUCGGAGCGCCAUUAAUAGGAUCAGAACCGGGAUCUGAGCUCACAGCGCCAGGAUCCGGGCUGGGAAUUGGACCCCAAACGGGCCCUGAGCGCCGGCAUUGCUGGGAUUGUUGGCAUCGUUGGCUGUGGGACCCCCCCUCGUUGCCCCCCACCCCCUGCGGGCGUUGGCCUCCGGGCGUUGGGAUUGUAGGUGGGACCCCACAGCGCCGCCCCAUAGCGCCGCCCCAUAGCCCCGGCCCCCCAAGGUCACCCGGAGCCGCCGCCGGGGCCGCCAGUUGUGCCGUAGUCGGCCCUAAAGGCCACCGGGGCCACCAAAAGACCCUCCCUAAGGGCCACCAAAGACCCCCCCAGGGCCACUGAAGACCCCCCCAGGGCCACCAAAGACCCCCCCAGGGCCACCAAAGCCACUGAGGCCACCGAAGCCAACUCCAGAGCCACUAAAACCACCAAAGGCCACCAGGGCCACUGAAGACCCCCCCAGGGCCACCAAAGACCCCCCCAGGGCCACCAAAGCCACCUCUGGAGCCGCCGAGGCCACCAAAGACCCCCCCCAGGGCCACCAAAACAGCCACCAACGCCACCUGAAGAGCCACCAAGGCCACCAAGGCCACCAAAGCCAACUCUACAGCCACCAAAGCCAACUCUACAGCCCUCAGGGCCACCAAGGCCACCUGUAGGGCCACCAAGGCCACCAAAGCCAACUCUACAGCCCUCAGGUCCACCAAAGCCAACUCAAGAGCUACUGAAGGCCCCCAAGGCCACCUGUAGAGCCACCAAAGCCAACUCUACAGCCACCAAAGCCAACUCUACAGCCACCAAAGCCAACAGUAGAGCUACUGAAGGCCCCCAAGGCCACCUGUAGAGCCACCAAAGCCAACUGUAGAUCCACCAAAGCCAACUGUAGAGCUACUGAAGACCCCCAAGGCCACCAAAGCCAACUGUAGAUCCACCAAAGCCAACUCUACAGCCUCCAAAGCCAACUGUAGAGCUACUGAAGGCCCCCAAGGCCACCUGUAGAGCCACCAAAGCCAACUCUACAGCCACCAAAGCCACCAAGGCCACCAAAGCCAUCUCUACAGCCACCAAAGCCAACUGUAGAGCUACUGAAGACCCCCAAGGCCACCAAAGCCAACUCUACAGCCUCCAAAGCCAACUGUAGAGCUACUGAAGACCCCCAAAGCCAACUGUGGAGCUACUGAAGACCCCCAAAGCCAACUGUAGAGCUACUGAAGACC